This 602-nucleotide ribosomal RNA is filed under the name Salmonella enterica subsp. enterica serovar Bredeney. RNAcentral describes it as "partial 23S ribosomal RNA". It matches the Rfam family "Bacterial large subunit ribosomal RNA", at positions 588 to 1191 of the family's 2925-position model. Lineage: Bacteria; Pseudomonadati; Pseudomonadota; Gammaproteobacteria; Enterobacterales; Enterobacteriaceae. The record is from RNAcentral.
GUGGGGUGACUGCGUACCUUUUGUAUAAUGGGUCAGCGACUUAUAUUCUGUAGCAAGGUUAACCGAAUAGGGGAGCCGGAGGGAAACCGAGUCUUAACCGGGCGUUAAGUUGCAGGGUAUAGACCCGAAACCCGGUGAUCUAGCCAUGGGCAGGUUGAAGGUUGGGUAACACUAACUGGAGGACCGAACCGACUAAUGUUGAAAAAUUAGCGGAUGACCUGUGGCUGGGGGUGAAAGGCCAAUCAAACCGGGAGAUAGCUGGUUCUCCCCGAAAGCUAUUUAGGUAGCGCCUCGUGAAUUCAUCUCCGGGGGUAGAGCACUGUUUCGGCUAGGGGGCCAUCCCGGCUUACCAACCCGAUGCAAACUGCGAAUACCGGAGAAUGUUAUCACGGGAGACACACGGCGGGUGCUAACGUCCGUCGUGAAGAGGGAAACAACCCAGACCGCCAGCUAAGGUCCCAAAGUCAUGGUUAAGUGGGAAACGAUGUGGGAAGGCCCAGACAGCCAGGAUGUUGGCUUAGAAGCAGCCAUCAUUUAAAGAAAGCGUAAUAGCUCACUGGUCGAGUCGGCCUGCGCGGAAGAUGUAACGGGGCUAAACCAUG